GCGGCGUACGGGUGCGGAAACACUUGCACUGCCUUUCUGGGGGGAUAGCUUCGAAAGGAGAUUAAUACCCCAUAUUAUGUUGGAUGGCAUCAUUCGACAUUGAAAACUCCGGUGGAUAGAGAUGGGCACGCGCAAGAUUAGAUAGUUGGUGAGGUAACGGCUCACCAAGUCUACGAUCUUUAGGGGGGCCUGAGAGGGUGAUCCCCCACACUGGUACUGAGACACGGACCGGACUCAUACGGGAGGCAGCAGUGAGGAAUAUUGGACAAUGGGUGAGAGCCUGAUCCAAGCCAUCCCGCGUGAAGGACGACUGCCCUAUGGGUUGUAAACUUCUUUUGGUAUAGGGGAUAAACCUNACCCUCGUUGAGGGGUACUUGAAGGUACUAUACGAAUAAACACCGGUUAACUCCGGUGCAAAACCGGGGUAAUACGGAGGGUGCAAGCGGUUANCCGGAUUUAUGGGGUUUAAAGGGGUCCGGAAGGGAAUCGGAAGUUCCGGGUGCGAAUUCCCCAGGUUUANUNGGGAAAUGGCCCUGAAAACGGGGNGGUUCUCGGAAUUGUUGUUCAAAUCCUGGAAAAAGGGUUUGUGUGGACCGAGGG
RNAcentral lists this ribosomal RNA (600 nucleotides) under uncultured bacterium. RNAcentral describes it as "bacterial SSU rRNA". It matches the Rfam family "Bacterial small subunit ribosomal RNA", at positions 95 to 715 of the family's 1533-position model. The record is from RNAcentral.